UGGGGAAUAUUGCGCAAUGGGGGGAACCCUGACGCAGCCAUGCCGCGUGAAUGAAGAAGGCCUUCGGGUUGUAAAGUUCUUUCGGUAUUGAGGAAGGUUGAUGUGUUAAUAGCACAUCAAAUUGACGUUAAAUACAGAAGAAGCACCGGCUAACUCCGUGCCAGCAGCCGCGGUAAUACGGAGGGUGCGGGCGUUAAUCGGAAUAACUGGGCGUAAAGGGCACGCAGGCGGUUAUUUAAGUGAGGUGUGAAAGCCCCGGGCUUAACCUGGGAAUUGCAUUUCAGACUGGGUAACUAGAGUACUUUAGGGAGGGGUAGAAUUCCACGUGUAGCGGUGAAAUGCGUAGAGAUGUGGAGGAAUACCGAAGGCGGAGGCAGCCCCUUGGGAAUGUACUGACGCUCAUGUGCGAAAGCGUGGGGAGCAAACAGGAUUAGAUACCCUGGUAGUCCACGCUGUAAACGCUGUCGAUUUGGGGGUUGGGGUUUAACUCUGGCGCCCGUAGCUAACGUGAUAAAUCGACCGCCUGGGGAGUACGGCCGCAAGGUUA
RNAcentral lists this ribosomal RNA (547 nucleotides) under uncultured bacterium. RNAcentral describes it as "bacterial SSU rRNA". It matches the Rfam family "Bacterial small subunit ribosomal RNA", at positions 355 to 896 of the family's 1533-position model. The record is from RNAcentral.